UCCACCUACGGGGGGCAGCAGUGAGGAAUAUUGGUCAAUGGGCUAAGGCCUGAACCAGCCAAGUCGCGUGAGGGAAGACGGUCCUAUGGAUUGUAAACCUCUAUUGUCGGGGAGCAACGAGGCCACGUGUGGCCGAAGUGAGAGUACCUGAAGAAAAAGCAUCGGCUAACUCCGUGCCAGCAGCCGCGGUAAUACGGAGGAUGCGAGCGUUAUCCGGAUUUAUUGGGUUUAAAGGGUGCGCAGGCGGAAUGUCAAGUCAGCGGUAAAAUUUCGGGGCUCAACCCCGUCGUGCCGUUGAAACUGGC
This 305-nucleotide ribosomal RNA is filed under the name uncultured bacterium. RNAcentral describes it as "bacterial SSU rRNA". It matches the Rfam family "Bacterial small subunit ribosomal RNA", at positions 334 to 637 of the family's 1533-position model. The record is from RNAcentral.